AUACAGCUGACGAGUCCCAAAUAGGACGAAACGUACGUCCUGUGU
RNAcentral lists this non-coding RNA (45 nucleotides) under Schistosoma mattheei. The record is from RNAcentral. Lineage: Eukaryota; Metazoa; Platyhelminthes; Trematoda; Strigeidida; Schistosomatidae.